Molecule: ribosomal RNA, 1244 nt
Filed under: 'Tamarix aphylla' witches'-broom phytoplasma
Lineage: Bacteria; Bacillati; Mycoplasmatota; Mollicutes; Acholeplasmatales; Acholeplasmataceae
Description: bacterial SSU rRNA
Rfam family: Bacterial small subunit ribosomal RNA
Source: RNAcentral
GACACAGUGGCUAAGACUGGAUAGGAAGAUAAAAGGCAUCUUUUAUCUUUUAAAAGACCUAGUAAUAGGUAUGCUUUAGGAGGGGCUUGCGCCAUAUUAGUUAGUUGGUAGGGUAAUGGCCUACCAAGACGAUGAUGUGUAGCUGGACUGAGAGGUUGAACAGCCACAUUGGGACUGAGACACGGCCCAAAACUCCUACGGGAGGCAGCAGUAGGGAAUUUUCGGCAAUGGAGGAAACUCUGACCGAGCAACGCCGCGUGAAUGACGAAGUACUUCGGUAUGUAAAGUUCUUUUAUCAAGGAAGAAAAGCAAAUGGCGAACCAUUUGUUUGCCGGUACUUGAUGAAUAAGCCCCGGCUAAUUAUGUGCCAGCAGCCGCGGUAAGACAUAAGGGGCAAGUGUUAUCCGGAAUUAUUGGGCGUAAAGGGUGCGUAGGCGGUCUAGUAAGUCAGUGGUGUAAUGGCAACGCUUAACGUUGUCCGGCUAUUGAAACUGCUAAACUUGAGUUAGAUAGAGGCGAGUGGAAUUCCAUGUGUAGCGGUAAAAUGCGUAAAUAUAUGGAGGAACACCAGAGGCGUAGGCGGCUCGCUGGGUCUUAACUGACGCUGAGGCACGAAAGCGUGGGGAGCAAACAGGAUUAGAUACCCUGGUAGUCCACGCCGUAAACGAUGAGUACUAAGUGUCGGGUUAAACCGGUACUGAAGUUAACACAUUAAGUACUCCGCCUGAGUAGUACGUACGCAAGUAUGAAACUUAAAGGAAUUGACGGGACUCCGCACAAGCGGUGGAUCAUGUUGUUUAAUUCGAAGAUACCCGAAAAACCUUACCAGGUCUUGACAUGUUUUUGCAAAAUGAUAGUAAUAUCGUGGAGGUUACCAGAAACACAGGUGGUGCAUGGUUGUCGUCAGCUCGUGUCGUGAGAUGUUAGGUUAAGUCCUAAAACGAGCGAAACCCUUAUCGUUAGUUGCCAGCACGUUAUGGUGGGGGACUUUAACGAGACUGCCAAUGAUAAAUUGGAGGAAGGUGAGGAUCACGUCAAAUCAGCAUGCCCCUUAUGACCUGGGGCUACAAACGUGAUACAAUGGGCUGUUACAAAGGGUAGCUGAAACGCAAGUUCUUGGCCAAUCCCCAAAAACAGUCCCAGUCCGGAUUGAAGUCUGCAACUCGACUUCAUGAAGUCGGAAUCGCUGGUAAUCGCGAAUCAGCAUGUCGCGGUGAAUACGUUCUCGGGGUUUGUCCAGCACC